CGAGGGGCGGGGCAAACUGUGGGGAGUGCGGUGAUUGGUGGAACGUUGAGCGAUUUGUGAACUCGCGCCCACAGAGCCCUUAAAAGGCGCGAGGCACGUAGCUCUUGCAGGCUGGGUUGUGGAUUGGCUGCUUCCUUCUUGGUGUUUUUUUUAAUUUUUAAUUUUUUAACCCCUUCACUCUCUUAGAGUUAGUAAGACUAGGAUUGAGGUUGUAGGUGGUUACUAGGCGUCAGCCUUGGAUGAAAGAUCCUGGGAAGAAUGGAAUAUGCGUUAAUUCCAAAUCUUACACACUUCUCUACAAACGUGUGUGCCUCCCCAGUUCUGGUCUCGGCCUUGCCACGGGCGAACCCGGCACGCCUCACAGAAAAUACCCAGCGCGAUUCAACACCUCUUUACCUGUCAACACCUGAGUGGCUGAUUAAGUAGGCAAACUCCAACACCAGCCGUCGCUGGCUGAGAACGCUCCAGAACCAUCCUUGCGGGGGGUGGGGGAGAGUCAAGUCUGCUGGGCCUGCCCUCCUGUGCGGGCUGACAUCUCCGGGAAGGGGACGCUGCUGUAUUUCCCACAAAAAGCACACGGGCAACCCCUUUUUCCACUGGUGCUCGCGAAGAGCACGGGUGUUGGAGUAGGGGGAGGGAAGCCAGCGCUGGAGGCCUUCGUCAUGGAAAAUAAAGGUGGAAGCCAGGCCUGAGAAAUGAGGAUGCGCUUGGGACCUUUCCAGCCAGGGAGACUUCCAUCAUGCUUGAGCUUCAUGCCCUUGGUGGUUGCUGAAGAAGCAGAUACUCUUGCUACUCCUACAGAUGUCCCCUACUGUCCUCAGGCUGUUUGACCGUGUUGGGACAACCACCUGCUGGUCACAGCCCUUCGCCUUUCCCAGGAAACCCAGAGGAGUUGCAGGAUUGGAUUCCUGGGUAUGAAGAUUCAGAGGUGUGACUGUCCCAUAAAUAUGCCCUGUUGAGUUAGAACACUGGCAUUAGGGCAGAAUCCUUCCACCAUCUUGCUGAAGUGCUUCUAAGAGAGGAAUAGUGUGGGUUCACAUCCUAGGAACUCUACAGAUUGAAGUCCCAGACAACCAGCUGGAACUGAGAAAUAUCUGUGAAAUUCUGUGUUUUGUCUUAAUGGUUUUUGCAUUCUACUCUAUAUUUAGUUGAGAUAUUUAAAAACUUCAGGUCUUAAAAUGGGAAUCUCCAGGAAAAUGUAUCAUUUUUAUCCCGUCAACUCGGAUGCCCCUUACCACAGUAAACUGAUGAACUGAUGCUACUAAACUCCUUGGUUGGCUGUGAAAUCAGAUUUGUGGGUGUUACCUUUUAUUUUCUUAAAUAGAAGAACAGAACAGAAAACUGCUCGAAUUGAUCACCUACGCAUCAGGCAACACGCGAGGUUCUGGAGAGGGAAAGCACGAUAUCCGACAGAACCUGCCUCUGCUUCCCUGGCUGUUCCUGCGAUUCACAAUCCAUCCCCCGUGGCACCCCGGCCAAUACAAGAGCCAGCUCCAGAUCGCUAGAAGUUUCUAGCAGUGCGUUUAACGCUGCUGUUCGAGGGACGGCAGCGGUGAGCCCCUGGGACCGCUAACGGACACCAGCAGCGUCAGGGAGCUGUGGACCGUGCCCCGCACUGGGGCCGACCUCGUGCGGCCCACUCCGGGACCGCCAACCAGGAGACCGGAUGUUGCCAUUGUGGAAAAAUUAAAUAUUUGAAAACAGUAUUACAAUAGAUGUUUUAAGGAGAAGAAAAGUCAAGCAAUUGGACGGAAAAAGCAGUACCAGCAGAGGUCACUAGAAUGCUACCAAAUUACUAUCACCCUCCGGAGAUGAAGCGCUCAUGAAAUCCUUUAAAACUAAUUUUCGUCCCUCCGUUUCUGUGCAGGCUUUUCUCUGAGACCCCUACACAAGCCCUCUCCCAACGUCCAUCAGACUGCGUUCCUCAGUGACUCCCACCCCGUCCAAUCCACCCCCCCCCCGCCACCGAUCCAGCAUGAUGGGUCUAAGAACAAUCACACAGUCGUAGAAUGAGAAUUUAAAAAGUAGCUCCAUUUCAGAAAAGAUCCUGUGAUUUUAAAGGGUUAUUUUUUCAUGUGAUUUAUCCAAAUCUUCCAGUUUAAAGUUCAUUUGUUCUGUGUUUCUCCAUAAUUUGUAAAGAAAUAAUUAUUAAAUUUAAGAACAGAUCCUUGCUUUUGUUAGUUGUAGGGGGCAUUCCCCUGCUGCAUUUUCUAUAUAGAGACAUGUCUGCGGGCAAGGACAGCCACACUCAGAAGUGAGUGGUGACUCCACUGGGGGCAGCGGCUGGGGCCCAGGCGAGCUCAUUCGUCCUUAUGUCCCAGCCUUAGCAUACAGACUCGCUGUAGGUUCUCCAUAAAUGUCCAUUCAACAGAAUGGAUCGUAUUUAUAAUAGUAUGGUACACUACUGAGAUUAAAAUAGGAAUGUUUUAAUCAUGUAGUUUAUUAAGCAGAGAGAGAAGGAUCCAUGAAGUUAAAACAUUUUACACAUUAAGAACAUUUUUUUCCUGAUAUUAAAAGAUUUUUAA
Molecule: long non-coding RNA, 2525 nt
Organism: Mirounga angustirostris (Northern elephant seal)
Lineage: Eukaryota; Metazoa; Chordata; Mammalia; Carnivora; Phocidae
Exons: 5
Source: RefSeq, a predicted model, not a curated record